RNAcentral lists this ribosomal RNA (301 nucleotides) under uncultured bacterium. RNAcentral's name for it is "partial 16S ribosomal RNA". It matches the Rfam family "Bacterial small subunit ribosomal RNA", at positions 509 to 809 of the family's 1533-position model. The record is from RNAcentral.
CAGUAGCCACGGGAAUACAGAGGGUGCAAGCGUUAAUCGGAAUUACUGGGCGUAAAGCGCGCGUAGGUGGUUUGUUAAGUUGGAUGUGAAAGCCCCGGGCUCAACCUGGGAACUGCAUCCAAAACUGGCAAGCUAGAGUACGGUAGAGGGUGGUGGAAUUUCCUGUGUAGCGGUGAAAUGCGUAGAUAUAGGAAGGAACACCAGUGGCGAAGGCGACCACCUGGACUGAUACUGACACUGAGGUGCGAAAGCGUGGGGAGCAAACAGGAUUAGAUACCCGCGUAGUCCCUGUCUCUUAUAA